This 254-nucleotide ribosomal RNA is filed under the name uncultured bacterium. RNAcentral describes it as "partial 16S ribosomal RNA". It matches the Rfam family "Bacterial small subunit ribosomal RNA", at positions 524 to 777 of the family's 1533-position model. The record is from RNAcentral.
UACAGAGGGUGCAAGCGUUGUUCGGAAUUACUGGGCGUAAAGCGCGUGUAGGCUGCAAUGUAAGUCGGAUGUGAAAGCCCUUGGCUCAACCAAGGAAGUGCAUCCGAUACUGCGUCGCUUGAGUGUCGGAGGGGUCGGCGGAAUUCCCGGUGUAGAGGUGAAAUUCGUAGAUAUCGGGAGGAACACCUGUGGCGAAGGCGGCCGACUGGACGAUAACUGACGCUGAGACGCGAAAGCGUGGGUAGCAAACGAGG